ACGCUCGACACCUACGGGGGCAGCAGUGGGGGAUAUUGCACAAUGGGGGAAACCCUGAUGCAGCAACGCCGCGUGAGGGAAGAAGGUUUUCGGAUUGUAAACCUCUGUCCCCGGGGAAGAUAAUGACGGUACCCGGGGAGGAAGCUCCGGCUAACUACGUGCCUGCAGCCGCGGUAAUCUGAGCGGGCUGGCAAGGC
RNAcentral lists this ribosomal RNA (197 nucleotides) under uncultured bacterium. Its description in RNAcentral is "partial 16S ribosomal RNA". It matches the Rfam family "Bacterial small subunit ribosomal RNA", at positions 328 to 539 of the family's 1533-position model. The record is from RNAcentral.